UCAAAAACACUUUACAUCGAUUGCAAUUUUUUUUGCCUUUUUCUAUUGUUCAUUGGAAUUUUUACUUCCGUACACUACGGCACAUUUACUUCUACGAAACAUGGUAAAAAAAUUCAUAUAUUUUCAAUCUACAUUUCUUGUCACCAUGUUCAGAUGCAAAUUGCCUUGAUUGUUUUCUUUUUUGUGCCAUUUGCAUUAAAAAGGAUCCUUUUUCCAUUUGGGAUUUUUUUGGUAAUAUACUGCUUUUCAUUCUCUAUGUAUCACAAACAGUUUUGAUUUUGGACCAUUGCAAAAAAGAAAAAGAAUCAUAGCAUGGCAAAAUCUGGCUUUAUUAGUCACAGCCAGAAGUGGGUUUUUUAGUCACACUAAAAUUGGGCUAAACUGGGCUUUAUUUUUUCUUUUAUAUUUUGGCUCCAGGGUCCUUGUCAGGUAGAGGAAGGGGAAAAUGACGGACAUGAGGUUGGCCAACAGCAGAACAGCCCGCUCGAGAAGCUCUCCACCGGCGCCGGCGCCGGCGCCUCUCCGCCGCCGCAUCCUGCUCGACAGCGACACCUUCAGCCGCCGCGGGUGAGUCCGUGAGUGAGUGGCGGAGUCGCCUUGCUCCCUCCGUCGUCCCCGUGCAUCUCCCGGUGCGGGCUGCCACUGCCGGCGGCCAGAUCUCCUGACUGUCGUUGAUUCCGAGGUGAGGUGAUUCCGUGACACUCCUCAAGUCGACCGGUUUCCCCCUCUCGUACGCCUCUGGUUGUCUCAUCUCACUCUUCAUCUCCUCAACAUCCAUCCCCACACUCACGCCCGCUGACUGUUCGACGGAAUGUCGGAGACGGCUGUGGCGGGCGGUGAUGAUCGCAUCAGCGCACUGUCCCUUGACGUCCGGCUGCGCGUGCUGUCCCGCUUGCCGGCGGACGAGGCCUCUGGAGGAAACUGCCCAGCCUGCGCCUCGUCCAUUCAAGGGUUUUCAAGAGUUCCCACCCCAAGCGUUUCAACAAGUUCGUGAACCAUCUGCUCCUCCUCCGCGGUCACCUACCUCUCGAAAAGUGCGAGAUCUGGGCCUACAGUGACGCCCAUGAGGUUGACCCGUACUCAUAGGCCAAUUUGUGGAUACAGUACGCUCUGAUAUGCAAAGUUGGGAUGCUCGAUGUCGUCGUUGACAGAGAUAUCCAUGGCUUAAAGCUCACUGUGUCUCUCGCAUCCGAGCACCUGACGAUCCUAAAUCUUUACUGUGUUGACUUAGAGCUAUGCUCUGCUCUUGUCGACUCCCAACUGCACCUUGAUUUCGCAAGCUGUCCGUUGUUGGUGGAUCUAGACAUGGUUUGUUGCAAUGUUCAAGUGCACAGGAUCUUCUCCGAAUCGCUAAAGCGGCUGCGCGCCACCGAUUGUACCUUUGCUGGUUGUGGUGCUUCCCGCACUAGGAUCUACGCACCAAGUCUUGUUUCACUGUACCUUAGUGAUUUCACUUUGGCUGCUCCUGUGCUUGAAAGCAUUCCUUAGGCUUACUGACAGUUGUGGUGACACUUGUGGUGUUACCGAUCCCGGGGUACAGAAUUGUGGUAAUCAAAUCUGUGAAGGUUGUCAUGGUUAUCCUGCUGGUGAGUACCAGUGUGUGCUUCUCAAUGGCUUGUCAGAUGCUAUCCAUCUGGAGUUGAUAGCUGGUUCUAAAGUGUUUAUCUACAGAAGGGAUUUAGCAUGCUGCCCCAUAUUUGGCAAAUUUAAAACUCUGUUACUCAACGAGUGGUGUGCAGCUAUUGACCUACGUGCAUUAGUUUGCAUUCUCCAGCACUCGCCUAUUCUUGAGAAGCUGACACUUCAGCUUCAUAGGGAUAAGCGGCACCACUUCAAUGCUGUACGGGCCGAAGGAAACCAUGAUCUGACAGAAUCAUUUACAUGUGCUCACCUUAAGACAGAUAUCAUUGAACGUCCUCGCAAACGGAAUAAAGAGAUCAAUGAGAGGGCUUGGGAAAUUUCAAAGAUCUUAAACUAAAAAGAAACGAAGGGAGUACAUGCGGCAUACGCCCUGAACAGAUUACCUUCAAGCGCACACGAUCAAAAGAUUGCCUCUUCAGCUGGGAGAGGUCAUUACACACCAUAUAUUCGUCCGCUCGUUAUGAUUCCUACCCUUACAUCCACUGAUGACAACUAAGAUCAAUGCAUGUUCGCUCGAGAUGAUCUUGUUCAAGGCAUCUGUGUAAUGCUGGCUGUUAUCGCUCAGUCUGUGUUAUCUUGACUCUUUGGGUCUGUUGUUAAGCUGGAAAUAUGUCCUUGUUGAUUGACCAUCUGGUACAACCAAGUGAGACGGUUUACGAGUUGUGCUUAUGACGUUGCCAAAUCAUUGCUACAUAGUAUAUUUUUCUCACUGGUAAUGGAAAUAUUUUUGGGCGUUCAUAUUUUCUUUAAUGGAUCAUCUGAUUGA
This is a long non-coding RNA of Aegilops tauschii subsp. strangulata, 2407 nucleotides long. RefSeq lists it as uncharacterized. NCBI's taxonomy places the organism in Eukaryota, Viridiplantae, Streptophyta, Magnoliopsida, Poales, Poaceae. The record is from RefSeq and is a predicted model, not a curated record.